GGCCGCCUGGCGAAAUGGCAUCGCGUCUGACUACGAUCUGGAAGUGGGCAAUGGUAAUCAGGAGAUUGCAGGUUCGACCCCUGCGGUGGUCA
This is a non-coding RNA of Favolaschia claudopus, 92 nucleotides long. NCBI's taxonomy places the organism in Eukaryota, Fungi, Basidiomycota, Agaricomycetes, Agaricales, Mycenaceae. The record is from the annotation of a GenBank genome assembly.